CACGUAGGGGGCGAGCGUUGUCCGGAUUUAUUGGGCGUAAAGAGCUCGUAGGCGGCUCAGUAAGUCAGGUGUGAAAACUCCAGGCUCAACCUGGAGACGCCACCUGAUACUGCUGUGGCUAGAGUCCGGUAGGGGAGCAUGGAAUUCCUGGUGUAGCGGUGAAAUGCGCAGAUAUCAGGAGGAACACCAGUGGCGGAAGGCGGUGCUCUGGGCCGGAACUGACGCUGGAGGAGCGGAAAGCGUGGGGAGCAAACAG
This 256-nucleotide ribosomal RNA is filed under the name uncultured bacterium. Its description in RNAcentral is "partial 16S ribosomal RNA". It matches the Rfam family "Bacterial small subunit ribosomal RNA", at positions 524 to 775 of the family's 1533-position model. The record is from RNAcentral.